RNAcentral lists this ribosomal RNA (507 nucleotides) under uncultured bacterium. Its description in RNAcentral is "partial 16S ribosomal RNA". It matches the Rfam family "Bacterial small subunit ribosomal RNA", at positions 28 to 507 of the family's 1533-position model. The record is from RNAcentral.
GACGAACGCUGGCGGCGUGCUUAACACAUGCAAGUCGAACGGGCCUUGUCCCCUUUUUUUUUGGGGGUGGGGUUAGUGGCGAACGGGUGAGUAACACGUGAGUAACCUGCCCCUCACUUCUGGAUAACCGCUUGAAAGGGUGGCUAAUACGGGGUGUUCUGGCCUGCUCGCAUGGGUGGGUUUGGAAAGAUUCGACCGGUUUGGUUGUUUUGGUGGGGGAUGGGCUCGCGGCCUAUCAGCUUGUUGGUGGGGUGAUGGCCUGCCAAGGCUUUGACGGGUAGCCGGCCUGAGAGGCUGCGCGGUCACACUGGGACUGCGACACGGCCCAGACUCCUACGGGAGGCAGCAGUGGGGAAUAUUGCACAAUGGGCGCAAGCCUGAUGCAGCGACGCCGCGUGAGGGAUGGAGGCCGUCGGGUUGUGAACCUCUUUCGCAAGUGAAGAAGGUCCUGCUCUUUGUGGUGGGGUUGACGGUAGCUGGGUUAAUGAAGCGCCGGCUAACUACGUG